GAUGAAGAACGUAGCGAAAUGCGAUAAGUAAUGUGAAUUGCAGAAUUCAGUGAAUCAUCGAAUCUUUGAACGCACAUUGCGCCCCCCAGUAUUCUGGCGGGCAUGCCUGUUCGAGCGUCAUUUCAACCAUCAAGCCCUGCUUGUGUUGGGGUCCUGCGGCUGCCCGCAGGCCCUGAAAACCAGUGGCGGGCUCGCUAGUCACACCGAGCGCAGUAGCACAUCUCGCUCAGGGCGUGCGGCGGGCUCCAGCCGUUAAAGCACCCACCUUUCGCAAGGUUGACCUCGGAUCAGGUAGGAAUACCCGCUGAACUUAAGCAUAUCAAUAAGCGGGGGA
This 334-nucleotide unclassified non-coding RNA is filed under the name soil metagenome. RNAcentral describes it as "partial contains 5.8S ribosomal RNA, internal transcribed spacer 2, and large subunit ribosomal RNA". The stretch from base 1 to 120 matches the Rfam family "5.8S ribosomal RNA", at positions 35 to 154 of the family's 154-position model. The record is from RNAcentral.